UUUGCACAAUGGGCGAAAGCCUGNUGCAGCAACGCCGCGUGAGCGAUGAAGGCCUUCGGGUCGUAAAGCUCUGUCCUCAAGGAAGAUAAUGACGGUACUUGAGGAGGAAGCCCCGGCUAACUACGUGCCAGCAGCCGCGGUAAUACGUAGGGGGCUAGCGUUAUCCGGAAUUACUNGGGCGUAAAGGGUGCGUAGGUGGUUUUUUAAGUCAGAAGUGAAAGGCUACGGCUCAACCGUAGUAAGCUUUUGAAACUGAGAAACUUGAGUGCAGGAGAGGAGAGUAGAAUUCCUAGUGUAGCGGUGAAAUGCGUAGAUAUUAGGAGGAAUACCAGUUGCGAAGGCGGCUCUCUGGACUGUAACUGACACUGAGGCACGAAAGCGUGGGGAGCAAACAGGAUUAGAUACCCUGGUAGUCCACGCCGUAAACGAUGAGUACUAGCUGUCGGAGGUUACCCCCUUCGGUGGCGCAGCUAACGCAUUAAGUACUCCGCCUGGGAAGUACGCUCGCAAGAGUGAAACUCAAAAGAAUUGACGGA
Molecule: ribosomal RNA, 536 nt
Filed under: uncultured bacterium
Lineage: Bacteria
Description: bacterial SSU rRNA
Rfam family: Bacterial small subunit ribosomal RNA
Source: RNAcentral